This 441-nucleotide ribosomal RNA is filed under the name uncultured Gammaproteobacteria bacterium. RNAcentral describes it as "bacterial SSU rRNA". It matches the Rfam family "Bacterial small subunit ribosomal RNA", at positions 8 to 483 of the family's 1533-position model. The record is from RNAcentral. Lineage: Bacteria; Pseudomonadati; Pseudomonadota; Gammaproteobacteria.
AGAGCUUUGAUCCUGGCUCAGAACGAACGCUGGCGGCAGGCUUUAUACAUGCAAGCUCGAGCGAGAAGCAUCCUUCGGGAUGUGGGCAGCGGCGGACGGGUGAGUAACGCGUGGGAACCUACCUAGCAGCGGGGGACAACCAUUGGAAACGAUGGCUAAUACCGCAUACGCCCUUCGGGGGAAAGAUUUAUCACUGUUAGAUGGGCCCGCGUUAGAUUAGAUAGUUGGUGGGGUAAUGGCCUACCAAGUCUACGAUCUAUAGCUGGUUUGAGAGGAUGAUCAGCCACACUGGAACUGAGACACGGUCCAGACUCCUACGGGAGGCAGCAGUAGGGAAUAUUGCACAAUGGAGGAAACUCUGAUGCAGCCAUGCCGCGUGAGUGAAGAAGGCCCUAGGGUUGUAAAGCUCUUUCAAUGGUGAAGAUGAUGACGGUAACCAUA